This 945-nucleotide unclassified non-coding RNA is filed under the name Hevea brasiliensis (rubber tree). Lineage: Eukaryota; Viridiplantae; Streptophyta; Magnoliopsida; Malpighiales; Euphorbiaceae. The record is from RNAcentral.
AUUAAACGAUAUCUUAUAAUAUAAGAUGACUCUCUAGCAUAUUCAUUUUCUUAACAAGUCUUUCUUAUCUUACAUAAGAUAUCAUGAAGCCAACUGUAAUCAAAACUUGAGAACCCUCAAAGUAUUAGCUAAAAUUAAUGAUGUUCCUAAAAUACUGGAAGUCAAAUCCCAAACUGUCCACUGUUUGUUAAAGUUGUCUCAGCAAUGUGGAAAUCGCAUCUCUGCAAUAAAAGAAUCUAGUUAAAAUCACAAGUUCUCUGGAGCAUGCUGGCAUGUUCCUAGGAAGUGCAAAAGAAGAAACCAUGUCCAACACAGAUUAUGAUUCUUUUUCAAGUGCCCAUUCUAUUUUAAUAGUCAGAACAUUAAUCUCUCUCAACCUACACUCUGGUAGCUACUUUGACUCAUCUUUGUUGAUCUUGACCACUUGAUCUUAAAUUGUGGCUAGUUUUGUUUUGUUUCCUUCCUAUUUCUUUUCAAUUCCUUUAAUUCUUUUCUUAUUCACUGACUAAGUACUUUCCCAUACACUGCCUAGGUAAUUCAAGAGGCUAAAAGUGCAAGGAAAACCAACACUUUUUACUUGUUAUGAUGUCAUAUUUCCCUUCUUUUGACCUCCAAUGGUUUGUCGGUUAUCCAAUUCCACACUUGGUGCUCGCCACACAGACAAGCUAUUGGUACAGAUAUAAAAAUAAAUAAAAUAAAAUACAGCUGAACCCUAAAUCUAUAUCAAAUUCUCCACUUGUCUUCAAUUUUAGAGUGAAAAUCAGAGCCUCAACCAGAUCAAAGAAACACUAUAUUCUUCCCAUCAGCUCUCCUUAAAAGGCAUUAAAAAGUACAUGUAAAUCGAAUACACAAUAUGCAUACAAGUAAAUGCAAUCAACAGGCGUAAGUAAUGAUUAGGUCUGAAGGAUUUCCAGACUGCUUACUUGAAGCGAUGGGCACCAAAAC